GACGAACGCUGGCGGCGUGCUUAACACAUGCAAGUCGAACGCUGAAGCUCAGCUUGCUGGGUGGAUGAGUGGCGAACGGGUGAGUAACACGUGAGUAACCUGCCCUCUUCUUUGGGAUAACGCCCGGAAACGGGUGCUAAUACUGGAUAUUCACUGAUUCUCGCAUGGGGGUUGGUGGAAAGGUUUUUUCUGGUGGGGGAUGGGCUCGCGGCCUAUCAGCUUGUUGGUGGGGUGAUGGCCUACCAAGGCUUUGACGGGUAGCCGGCCUGAGAGGGUGACCGGUCACAUUGGGACUGAGAUACGGCCCAGACUCCUACGGGAGGCAGCAGUGGGGAAUAUUGCACAAUGGGCGAAAGCCUGAUGCAGCGACGCCGCGUGAGGGAUGGAGGCCUUCGGGUUGUAAACCUCUUUCGCUCAUGGUCAAGCCGCAGCCUUGGGUUGUGGCGAGGGUAGUGGGUAAAGAAGCGCCGGCUAACUACGUG
RNAcentral lists this ribosomal RNA (482 nucleotides) under uncultured bacterium. RNAcentral describes it as "partial 16S ribosomal RNA". It matches the Rfam family "Bacterial small subunit ribosomal RNA", at positions 28 to 507 of the family's 1533-position model. The record is from RNAcentral.